CGCGGCCUAUCAGCUUGUUGGUAAGGUAAUGGCUCACCAAGGCGUCGACGGGUAGCCGGCCUGAGAGGGUGACCGGCCACACUGGGACUGAGACACGGCCCAGACUCCUACGGGAGGCAGCAGUGGGGAAUAUUGCACAAUGGGCGGAAGCCUGAUGCAGCAACGCCGCGUGAGGGAUGACGGCCUUCGGGUUGUAAACCUCUUUUAGCAGGGAAGAAGCGAAAGUGACGGUACCUGCAGAAAAAGCGCCGGCUAACUACGUGCCAGCAGCCGCGGUAAUACGUAGGGCGCAAGCGUUAUCCGGAAUUAUUGGGCGUAAAGAGCUCGUAGGCGGUUUGUCGCGUCUGCUGUGAAAACCCGAGGCUCAACCUCGGGCCUGCAGUGGGUACGGGCAGACUAGAGUGCGGUAGGGGAGAUUGGAAUUCCUGGUGUAGCGGUGGAAUGCGCAGAUAUCAGGAGGAACACCGAUGGCGAAGGCAGAUCUCUGGGCCGUAACUGACGCUGAGGAGCGAAAGGGUGGGGAGCAAACAGGCUUAGAUACCCUGGUAGUCCACCCCGUAAACGUUGGGAACUAGUUGUGGGGUCCAUUCCACGGAUUCCGUGACGCAGCUAACGCAUUAAGUUCCCCGCCUGGGGAGUACGG
This 643-nucleotide ribosomal RNA is filed under the name uncultured bacterium. RNAcentral describes it as "bacterial SSU rRNA". It matches the Rfam family "Bacterial small subunit ribosomal RNA", at positions 232 to 885 of the family's 1533-position model. The record is from RNAcentral.